CUGCGGAAGGAUCAUUAC
This 18-nucleotide ribosomal RNA is filed under the name Aspergillus sydowii. Its description in RNAcentral is "partial 18S ribosomal RNA". RNAcentral also lists the same sequence under 7 other names. Lineage: Eukaryota; Fungi; Ascomycota; Eurotiomycetes; Eurotiales; Aspergillaceae. The record is from RNAcentral.